AGAUGGGGAUCUCACUCUGUUGCCCAGGCUGGUCUCAAACUCCUGGCUUCAAGCAAUCCUCCUGCUUCGGCCUCCCAAACUUCUGGGAUUACAGAUAUGAGCCACCACGGCUGGCUGACAGGCACCAAAUUCUAGGAGAGGACUUGAAUAGACUCCCAAGGAGGCAGCAGAAACUGGGGUAAUCACAACGGUCAACAGCAGCAAAGGCAGCACUUUCUGAUUUACUUGACUGCUAUGGAUGCCACCUCUCUCCACGCCUCAGUUUAAUAUCUGACAGGAGGUGUCCUGGUGAUCAGCUGGAGCUCGGGGGAGCUGUUGCUGAAAUUAACUUGAGUGCUUUGGAGAGAGAUUUACAUGGCAGAGUGGAGCCAGGGCUGCUCCUUUGGCAGGCACUGCUGUGCCACUGUGGAGGCGCCCCUGCUUUUCCCAUGCUUUGCAGUGUCUUUAAAGGCCUUUGGAGCCAUGCCCAGGCUCAGCCCCAUCCUGGUGUCCCCCUGUGUCCGUUUUGCCACUGCCCGGCUACUUCACUUGGCCAUGGGCCUUACCAGCUUGCAGACAAACCCGUCCAUCUACGCCUCCCAGCGCAGCUUGGCCCACUUGCAAGCACUUACAGAGGGUUUCAGAAGGAACAUGUCUGCCAUCUGUGUUUGGAGACUGUGUCCCAGACUUUUGAGCUCACAUUAGUCAUGGCCACAGACGGGACUGGAGUCCUGCCCACUGGAGUCCCAAAGGUCUCUGGUGUUUGUUUU
This 749-nucleotide long non-coding RNA is filed under the name Homo sapiens (human). RNAcentral's name for it is "LAMTOR5 and SLC16A4 antisense RNA 1". The record is from RNAcentral. Lineage: Eukaryota; Metazoa; Chordata; Mammalia; Primates; Hominidae.